UGCGUAGGCGGUUUAUUAAGUCAGAUGUGAAAGCCCCGGGCUUAACCUGGGAACUGCAUUUGAUACUGGUAGACUAGAGUAUGGUAGAGGGGGGUAGAAUUCCUAGUGUAGCGGUGAAAUGCGUAGAUAUUAGGAGGAAUACCAGUGGCGAAGGCGGCCCCCCGGACCAAUACUGACGCUGAGGUACGAAAGCGUGGGUAGCGAACA
This 207-nucleotide ribosomal RNA is filed under the name uncultured bacterium. Its description in RNAcentral is "partial 16S ribosomal RNA". It matches the Rfam family "Bacterial small subunit ribosomal RNA", at positions 568 to 774 of the family's 1533-position model. The record is from RNAcentral.